CACCAUAGGACUGGCCGUCCCAUAUGAAAAGAUUAUAUUAGAAUUGAAUGAAGCUUUGUUUAUAUAUUGAUAAUGACAGUAUAUAUAUCGUGUCUUGACUAAUUGCGUGCCAGCAGUCGCGGUAAUACGUAAGAGACUAGUGUUAUUCAUCUUAAUUAGGUUUAAAGGGUACCCAGACGGUCAAUAUAGCUUAUAAAAUGUUAGUACUUGACUAGAGUUUUAUGUAAGAGGGCAGUACUUGAGGAGGAGAGAUGAAAUUUCGUGAUACCAAAGGGACUCUGUAAAGGCGAAGGCAGCCCUCUAUGUAAAAACUGACGUUGAAGGACGAAGGCACAGAGAACAAACAGGAUUAGAUACCCAAGUAGUCUUUGCAGUAAAUGAUGAAUGCCAUAGGUUAGAUGGGUCAAUUAUAGUCUAGGGUUAGUCUAGCAAACUAAUACCCUAUGCUAUAAUUCCUAAUAUCUGGUCUAUAAAUGAAAGUGUAAGCAUUUCACCUCAAGAGUAAUGUGGCAACGCAGGAAC
Molecule: ribosomal RNA, 522 nt
Filed under: Fusarium oxysporum
Lineage: Eukaryota; Fungi; Ascomycota; Sordariomycetes; Hypocreales; Nectriaceae
Description: SSU rRNA
Rfam family: Bacterial small subunit ribosomal RNA
Source: RNAcentral